This is a long non-coding RNA of Mastomys coucha (southern multimammate mouse), 606 nucleotides long. RefSeq lists it as uncharacterized. The transcript is spliced from 2 exons. The record is from RefSeq and is a predicted model, not a curated record. NCBI's taxonomy places the organism in Eukaryota, Metazoa, Chordata, Mammalia, Rodentia, Muridae.
GCCCCCAUCUGGGGAACUGUCUACUUUUUUCCCCUUCUCAGUGAGAUUGACAUCUGCCCUUGAGUCUCCCUUGUUACUUAGUCUCUCUGGAUCUAUGGAUUGUAGCAUGGUUAUGCUGUAUUUUAUGGAUAAUAUCCACUAAUGAAUACUGCAUCCAAUAUCAUCUUGUGUAAUACUGUGUAACCUUGCCAUGUGAAAUCUCAGAGAUGCGAGAGGAGAAAAUUGUGGAACUUGUCUCUAAUUCAAAGUCAUCUUGUAAAGCUGAUAUUGUCACAACUGACAUUUAGUAAAGAAAGAAAUCUGAGAACUUUCACUAUCUGCAAGAUACUACCUUCCAAAAAUAAAAGCACAACUAACUGGGCUCUCCAGUAGACAUGGACACUGAUAGAUUACCCUCACCCUGGAGGAUAGUCUUAUACCUAUAUGCAUAUUGGCAACACUAAUUAAACCCAGGAGCUUGUUAAUUACAACCAAAAAGACAAGACAUGAAAUUGGGGUGGGGAAACAGGGUUGAAGGGCAAUACAAAGAGUUCUUCAUGUCACCUACUGAGACACUCUAUCCAUUUCUUCACUGCUGUGACUGAAUAAACCAGGACUCAUAAGAAA